This 67-nucleotide transfer RNA is filed under the name Osphronemus goramy (giant gourami). Its description in RNAcentral is "tRNA-Cys". It matches the Rfam family "tRNA". From Rfam's summary of the family: Transfer RNA (tRNA) molecules are approximately 80 nucleotides in length. Their secondary structure includes four short double-helical elements and three loops (D, anti-codon, and T loops). Further hydrogen bonds mediate the characteristic L-shaped molecular structure. tRNAs have two regions of fundamental functional importance: the anti-codon, which is responsible for specific mRNA codon recognition, and the 3' end, to which the tRNAs corresponding amino acid is attached (by aminoacyl-tRNA synthetases). tRNAs cope with the degeneracy of the genetic code in two manners: having more than one tRNA (with a specific anti-codon) for a particular amino acid; and 'wobble' base-pairing, i.e. permitting non-standard base-pairing at the 3rd anti-codon position. The record is from RNAcentral. Lineage: Eukaryota; Metazoa; Chordata; Actinopteri; Anabantiformes; Osphronemidae.
AGCCUCGAGGUGUAAAACACAUUAGAUUGCAAAUCUAAAGAGGCAGGCUAGUUGCCUGCCGGGGCUU